UCCUGACUGACCGAUAGUGAACCAGUACCGUGAGGGAAAGGCGAAAAGAACCCCGGCGAGGGGAGUGAAAAAGAACCUGAAACCGUGUACGUACAAGCAGUGGGAGCACGCUUAGGCGUGUGACUGCGUACCUUUUGUAUAAUGGGUCAGCGACUUAUAUUCUGUAGCAAGGUUAACCGAAUAGGGGAGCCGAAGGGAAACCGAGUCUUAACUGGGCGUUAAGUUGCAGGGUAUAGACCCGAAACCCGGUGAUCUAGCCAUGGGCAGGUUGAAGGUUGGGUAACACUAACUGGAGGACCGAACCGACUAAUGUUGAAAAAUUAGCGGAUGACUUGUGGCUGGGGGUGAAAGGCCAAUCAAACCGGGAGAUAGCUGGUUCUCCCCGAAAGCUAUUUAGGUAGCGCCUCGUGAAUUCAUCUCCGGGGGUAGAGCACUGUUUCGGCAAGGGGGUCAUCCCGACUUACCAACCCGAUGCAAACUGCGAAUACCGGAGAAUGUUAUCACGGGAGACACACGGCGGGUGCUAACGUCCGUCGUGAAGAGGGAAACAACCCAGACCGCCAGCUAAGGUCCCAAAGUCAUGGUUAAGUGGGAAA
This 596-nucleotide ribosomal RNA is filed under the name Shigella sonnei. Its description in RNAcentral is "partial 23S ribosomal RNA". It matches the Rfam family "Bacterial large subunit ribosomal RNA", at positions 474 to 1070 of the family's 2925-position model. The record is from RNAcentral. Lineage: Bacteria; Pseudomonadati; Pseudomonadota; Gammaproteobacteria; Enterobacterales; Enterobacteriaceae.